UUAUCGAAGCUGCAGCUGCUUCCACAUAGCCGCUGUGGUCAAAAAGGAGCCCAGAGUAACAGUUUUCCUCGACGGUCGCCGUUCUGUUUGCUGUAACGGAUCUGCAACAUUUCGGGAAAAGACAGUUCUGCUUACCUUUCCUCAGGCUGGCAGACACGUGCUGCUGCUGCAGCUGAAUAAGCUUGGAAGUGCCGCGGGCACGCUGGGUGGGUUGGGUUCCUGUAGGACAGUCCAGGGGCAUCGGUAUCUGCACGCCUCUGAUGCUGAGGGCACAAAUAAAGGCACUGGAAGGUCACUCAAAAGCUGUUUCAUUUUAGCUGUGCCAGGUGAGGAUGUCGGCAUGACUGAACUCUGAUGACCGAGGGACCACGGACUCAACAGUCUAGCAGCUGAUUACCUUGGAGUUUUGUGGCAUAAUCUGAAACUGAAGGAUCUGAAGCUACCAUCUUGUUGGAUCUGCUUUAUAAGAUCUGUUACCAGUAAAGCUGUCUGCAUCUUGAGUUUGAAAACUGAGCAGACUGAAUGAAAGCCAAGGCCUCCUUUUGUUAGUGCUGGUACCUGACAUACAAGAAGUCAAUAGGCCCUCUCUGAUGGCAGCACCAUGAAGCUAUCCACAGCCACUGCAGCAUGAAUUUGAUACCCAGCCAGGGAGC
Condylura cristata (star-nosed mole) is the source of this 653-nucleotide long non-coding RNA. RefSeq lists it as uncharacterized. NCBI's taxonomy places the organism in Eukaryota, Metazoa, Chordata, Mammalia, Eulipotyphla, Talpidae. The transcript has 4 exons. The record is from RefSeq and is a predicted model, not a curated record.